Molecule: ribosomal RNA, 253 nt
Filed under: uncultured bacterium
Lineage: Bacteria
Description: partial 16S ribosomal RNA
Rfam family: Bacterial small subunit ribosomal RNA
Source: RNAcentral
UACGGGGGGGGCAAGCGUUGUUCGGAAUUACUGGGCGUAAAGGGCUCGUAGGCUGCCAACUAAGUCAGACGUGAAAUCCUCCGGCUCAACCGGAGAACUGCCUCGGAUACUGGGCGUCUCGAGUGUGGUAGGGGUAUGCGGAACUAUCGGUGGAGCGGUGAAAUGCGUUGAUAUCGAUAGGAACUCCGGUGGCGAAGGCGGCAUACUGGACCACCACUGACGCUGAUGCGCGAAAGCCAGGGGAGCGAACGGG